GACGAACGCUGGCGGCGUGCUUAACACAUGCAAGUCGAACGGAAAGGCCCUGCUUUUGUGGGGUGCUCGAGUGGCGAACGGGUGAGUAACACGUGAGUAACCUGCCCUUGACUUUGGGAUAACUUCAGGAAACUGGGGCUAAUACCGGAUAGGAGCUCCUGCUGCAUGGUGGGGGUUGGAAAGUUUCGGCGGUUGGGGAUGGACUCGCGGCUUAUCAGCUUGUUGGUGGGGUAGUGGCUUACCAAGGCUUUGACGGGUAGCCGGCCUGAGAGGGUGACCGGCCACAUUGGGACUGAGAUACGGCCCAGACUCCUACGGGAGGCAGCAGUGGGGAAUAUUGCACAAUGGGCGGAAGCCUGAUGCAGCAACGCCGCGUGCGGGAUGACGGCCUUCGGGUUGUAAACCGCGUUCGCCUGUGACGAAGCGUGAGUGACGGGAAUGGGUAAAGAAGCACCGGCUAACUACGUG
Molecule: ribosomal RNA, 468 nt
Filed under: uncultured bacterium
Lineage: Bacteria
Description: partial 16S ribosomal RNA
Rfam family: Bacterial small subunit ribosomal RNA
Source: RNAcentral